Molecule: long non-coding RNA, 4784 nt
Organism: Zingiber officinale
Lineage: Eukaryota; Viridiplantae; Streptophyta; Magnoliopsida; Zingiberales; Zingiberaceae
Exons: 3
Source: RefSeq, a predicted model, not a curated record
ACUCACGCGGACGAAUAGUGGCGACUUCUUCUCUUCUGUUCGCAUUUUCCUCUUCCUCGCGCGGCUAGGGCUCGCGAUCCUCAGCACCUCCCGCACCCUUCUCUUCUUCCUCACCACCGGCUGGUGGCUCUCUUGUCUUCCCUUGUCACCGGCCGGCCAUCCACAACCCACCACUUCCUCUUCUAGAUUCUAAGCGGCGAGCGACAGCAAGCAUUCUUCCAGGCGGUGACACGCAACGACGACGACUCCGAUCAAUCCAUCUCGCCGGAGAGAGUUUCUCCGGUGUGACCUCCAUCUUCCGACUUCCUUCUGGUAGCUCCACUAUUUGGGGUUCAGGCGGCAGAGCAAGGAGGUGAGCGGCGGUGGUUCAUUCCAUUUCACAACAUUUCCAUUUCCGGUCAACUUCCAGCGAGGGGGUUCUUCAGUGGAAGAUUCGUUCAUCACAUUAUCGUUGUCGAAGUUUACAGCAAUCCGACAGAGAGCUACUGUUCACCAGAAUUCGGGGUUCAAUCGCCGGGUUUUCAUGUGACGACGAGGGUAGUCGUUGGUAUUUGAAAAAGUUGUGUGGAUUGUGGUUGGGAUUCUUAGUUUAUUUUAUGUUCAUUGCUUAUGUUUACUUGUGUUGAUGUUUUGUGAUUGAAUGCCUGUAUUAACUUGAUUUUCCAUGUUUUUUAUUUAAAUUGGACGUAGUAUGUUUAAUUAGUUUCACGCACGCAAUAUGUUCGAUGAAUUGCUUCAACCAAUAGUUAGGUUUAAUUUGAUGCAUUUUAGUUUGGUUAAUUCUUGCUUUGCCUUGUUCUUUCAAUUUCGUUAAUUUCUAGUUUUGAUUGAAUGCAAUUAGAAUAGAUUAGUUUAGGUUUUGUUUCAUGCUUUAGGUUUCGUUACAUGCUAGUUUCGUUAAUGCUUUACUUCAUGUUGUCCUUUUAAUUUCUGCAAUUGUAGUUAGGUUAGACUUAGCUUUUAUUACUUGUAUUGUCUUUCAUUUACUAGAUUAGGUUUCAUUUAAUGCUUUGCCAUUUCAUUCCUUAGUUUAAUUAUGUUGAUGGUUAAUCCAUAGUGUAGAGUGACAAUGCGUUGUGGAUUAAUUGUUGUCACUUAGUUAGAUUUCAUUCCAGUAUUAGAUUAGUUUCCUACUUGCUUCACUUUUCAUUUGUUAGGUUUAGAAUUAAAAUCCAAAACCUCCAUUUCCAUAUUAGAAACUCCAAAAUAGAAAUAGCACACGAUCCUAGAUUACCAUCCUAUCGUUGCUUUCAUUGGGAGACGGCCUGAGCCAAUUCUAUACUUCAUUCAUGUAGUUAGAGGGGGUUCAGUACUUAAAAUAGUUUUUUUGAUAUCAAUUUCACGACCAUAUCAGUGAGCUGCUUAAACAAUAAAACCAUUCAUUGAUAUCUUUGGUGCCAAAGGCGGAUCAUGCCCCAUGAGUUUCAUAUUACCGGCCUAUCUCCUGUUACAACAUGUUCUACAAGGUCAUUGCAACGGUAUUGGCUUGCCAGUUAGCUGGGGUAUUGGGGUACUUGUUGGAUCCAGUGUAAGCAGCUUUUGUGCAAGGAUGAUCUAUAGAUGACAACAUUAAUCUCACACAGGAGUUGCUAUAGAAGUAUACGCAAAAGAGAAUCUCCCCGAGGUGUCUGAUCAAGGUGGAUUUACAAAAGACAUUUGUCUAAAUGACAGUAUCUAUAGAUUCUUUAGUGGGCAUCGCGGUCUAAGGAAAGGUGACCCCUUAUCUCCCCUUCUUUUUGGACUAUGCAUAGUAGUAUUGUCACGUAGAUUGCAGGUUGCCUCCUCAAUGUCUUCUCUUCAUUUUCAUCCUAUGUGUAAAGAGGUUGGCAUUACCCACAUUGCAUAUGCCGAUGAUUUGAUGUUGUUUGCCCAAGCGGAUGAGUCCUCGAUAAAGGUAUUAGCGGAUUGCUUGGAGCAUUUCGGCAAUGAAAAAGGAUUGCGAGCUAACUCAUUGAAAUCACAUAUGUAUAUCACGGGGAUUGAUGAUAGAAUCAAGGACCGGUUGCUCCAAAUUAUUGGGUUCCAAGAGGGAACGUUUCCAUUUUGAUACUUGUAAAUUCCACUAGCGACGGAGAAGCUAUGAAUUGCAAACUAUGGACCAUUACUUGAUACUAUAACAAGGAAGAUCAAUUCUUGGCCAAAACAUAUUUUAUCAUAUGCAGGGCGCUUGGAGUUGGUUAAGACGGUCCUUCUAGGAGUGGAGUAUUAUUGGCUAUCUAUGUGGCAAAAAAAGGUGAUUCGCUCGCUUCUAGCGUCCUCGCCAACUCAUUCCUAGGCCAACACGGAGGAGGUAAAUCAUGGGUGGCUGCUAGCCAUUAGUGCAGGUGGCAAGAUAUGGGGAAGACAUGCUCAGACAUGCCGAGUUUUGACCCCAAUACCUCAUGUGGCAACACUCCAUGCUUUAACCGCCGCACCACCCCGAGGAGACAUGUUAUUGGCUAUCUAUGUUCCCUAUUCCCGAUGGUGUCAUUGACAAGAUCAAAUACAUUUGUUUGGUCUUCAAAAUAUCCCCCUAUAUCAUGGGCUACUAUUUGUCUUCCUUGGCAUGAUGGUGGUUAUGGACUUUGCGACCUUCAUGCAUGGAAUGAAGCUUUACUUAGCAAGACACUUUGGGAGAUUCAAUUCAAUGCAGAUUCACUAUGGGUGAGAUGAGUGCAUCAACACUAUCUCAAAGGGAUUGAUUUUUGGCAAUGGGAAGUUAAAGCCUCGGACUCUCCUCUUAUUAAACGGCUUGUGAACAUUCGGAAUAAAAUCCAAGGGGCUACAAUUGAAGUGGGAAGGCGAACAUGUUGAUGGGCGAGUGGUUUGCGGCGGGAAAAAAUAGGACUGCAAAUGCAUAUGGUUUCUUCAUACUAAGAGGUCCUGAGGUGGUGUGGACAUUAUUGGUUUAGAGGCCGAAGAUUAUGCUGAAGCAUCGGUUCAUUAUGCUUUGCCAAGGUCAAGAUGAGUCGAAUGGUCACUUAUUUUGAGUGAGUGCCCUAUCACAUGUGCUCUUUGGAACAAGGUGCAAAGAUGGUUAGAAAUAAGUUAUGAAGUUAACUUAGUGGUGGCGCUAUUUCACAUUCUUGGUCAACACUACAAUGGUGCAAGCCGACGAAUGAAGAUCCGGCAUCUUAGAAUUUCUAGUAUGAUCUAUGUUCUAUAGGAAGCAUACAACAGAUGUCGCUAUAAGGGGAUGGUUCUUGAUGUUGCAGAAGAUUCAAAUAUAUAUUUAUCGUUUUGUGGACUGAAAUUGAAGUGGUUAGCCUGAAUUUGGGUGGUCUUCUGGAGGUAAAAGUGUGGACAGACCAGAAUGUGCGGAUGGUGCAGAUAGUGCGGCCAAUGGAGAAGUCCUCGUUCAUGUGCAAUUUGACGGAGAUUUCACAUUGUAGCAGAUUUCAGGUGCCUGAGCAGAUUUCACGUUCGUGGCACAUGCAAAGCUUUAGCAGAUUUGAUGGGUUGGUGGCACAUGCAGGGCUUGAGCAACUUUUAACGUUGGUAGCACAUACAGAUUGGUUUGAUGGAGUUAUGUUGCAUGUCAUUACAUUCCUUGUCUUUUGGUUUUGUACGUGAGUCAAGGAAAGUCAUGGACUUACCGUUGAUUGACACCUCAUGUCUAGAUAGAGGGGGUGUGCUUAUGUUCUAGCUUGUGAUGUAUGCUUUUGAUUGUAUGUUUGAGGUUGUAAUGGCUUAAAUAUUUUAUAAUAUAUUUAUCUAUUUCCGUGAAACCAUGUCGGUUGAAGAUAAACUAUUUAACUUUGGUCACUGGUUUUUUGGUAUAAGUUUGGCUCGUUUGCUUAAGAAAGUAGUUGACAACUUCUAGUUUUGAAUCAGGAAUACCUACAGAGACUUCUUUUGAUGUACAAAGUAGAAAUAGUUCUAGAAAUGGUUCUUGAUGAACCUGAAUUUGCACCGACCCCUAUUGAACUUACCAUCGCCACUCCAACACAUAAGGCAGAUAGUUGAGACACUGUAGAUUUUCUUAUUUGUCUUUGAUGAGAAUACUUGUGAUUUUACACUAGUUUUACUUUAUUUUUUUGGUUCAUUUUCCCUCUCCUUCCAUCCCUUAACUUUCCACCUAAACAAAAUUAGCUUCAUGUUUCAUCUUCAUUUAUUCUUCUGUUUUUGGUAUACAGGUAUUAAGUGAAACAAAUACAAAAGCACCAGCAGUAGAGGAAAAUAAUUCAUCGGCUCUAACCAUUGUUCCAACCAGUACAACUACAGACUCAGGAACUAUUCAGGAUGGAGCAUUUGAUCCAACCAAAUGGGAACUUGCUCUGGCGACUACUCCAAGUAACAAUAAUUCAACUGUUCUUGAAAGCAGAAUGCUUAUAUGAUGAGGCAGCAUACCGACAACAUCAGCAACUUUAUGAAACACCAAGUUCAAAUUCAUUUACUGAGCCAUUUGAAAUGUCUCACCAAAUUGCUACACCUCCUGCAGUUCAAAUGGCUUCCAUGGCUCAGCAACAGCAGCAAAUGUUCUCUAUGUUCUUGCAAUCGAAUUCAUUCGUUCAGCCAAUCUCUCCACUGCACUCUAAUGUUGGGGCUGCAGUGAAUCCAUUUGGUGAUGAUGUUGGGCGCAGAACUUUCCCUAUCGACAAUCUCCAACACCAACCGAACAAUCCUUUUGGAAAUCCCCAGGUAUAACUCAAGAAUGAUUUCCUCAUUCCUGCUACCUAAUGAUUUUUCUUUUUUCUUUUUUUUCCUGUGCUCUCAUUGUUUUUUUUUUUAAUGUAAAUUUUGAUUUUGAAUGAUCGCCUUGUUUAUUAAAUAAUGGGCAAAUAAUAAUCAAAUCAUUGGAAACU